This is a long non-coding RNA of Xenia sp. Carnegie-2017, 285 nucleotides long. RefSeq lists it as uncharacterized. NCBI's taxonomy places the organism in Eukaryota, Metazoa, Cnidaria, Anthozoa, Malacalcyonacea, Xeniidae. The record is from RefSeq and is a predicted model, not a curated record. The transcript is spliced from 2 exons.
UCCGCGCAUUCUGAUGUAUGGGAUUCACGAAUUUAUGAAAUACUUUAUUUAGUCAACUUUAUUUUCCUGUUCUGUGAUCUGGCUAUGGCGGAAAACGUUCGACGUUCAGCUUCUUAUGAUAUUUUAAAUGACGAACAAAAAAAGAUCUUGAAGGAUUAUUAUGAUCGAGGAAUGAUUUCAACAGCUGCUUGUAUGAGGGAUGUCAUCCAAGAAGCUGCGAACCAAGCUAAUAUCACGUUUGAAAGAGUCAAGAAAUGGAUUGGGAAUGAAAAGCAGUCCAGAAAA